UUACACAAGGAGGCACCCUGUGAAAUUUAUUGUGAUGCAGCUGAAGAUAAUACUUCUCCCCUGCCACCUAAAGAAAGCAUGUUUCCAGUCUCAACUAGGAACCAGGGGAUGACUUGAGGUGGUGAAAGGUGGCAGAACUGCCAAAUGGAAGUAACCUAGGUCCCUGAAUGACUUAAUGGAGCAGAAUUUCUCCAUUGAUCCUCACGGAAUUGUGUCAUGAAUGUGAAACAGGCCUUUAUUGUAUUAAAUGCCUGAGAUAUUUGGUUGGUCAAAUCUCCCCUGAUUAAACAGUUAAUCUCCCCUGACAAAAGUAGGACACUUCAAAGAUACUGGAAAAAUUCUUUCCCUUCAGUGUGAUAGUGAAUACAUGGAUAUUUAUCUUUUAUUAUUCUUUAAAUUGUCAAUAUAUGUAAU
RNAcentral lists this long non-coding RNA (414 nucleotides) under Homo sapiens (human). Its description in RNAcentral is "HSALNT0249244". The record is from RNAcentral. Lineage: Eukaryota; Metazoa; Chordata; Mammalia; Primates; Hominidae.